UACGAAGGGGGCUAGCGUUGUUCGGAAUCACUGGGCGUAAAGGGCGCGUAGGCGGUUUGCCAAGUCAGGCGUGAAAGCCCCGGGCUCAACCUGGGAACGGCGCUUGGGACUGGCAGGCUCGAGUUCGGGAGAGGACGGCGGAAUUCCCAGUGUAGAGGUGAAAUUCGUAGAUAUUGGGAAGAACACCGAUGGCGAAGGCAGCCGUCUGGACCGACACUGACGCUGAGGCGCGAAAGCGUGGGGAGCAAACAGG
This 253-nucleotide ribosomal RNA is filed under the name uncultured bacterium. RNAcentral describes it as "partial 16S ribosomal RNA". It matches the Rfam family "Bacterial small subunit ribosomal RNA", at positions 524 to 776 of the family's 1533-position model. The record is from RNAcentral.